This 893-nucleotide ribosomal RNA is filed under the name Biscogniauxia mediterranea. Its description in RNAcentral is "partial large subunit ribosomal RNA". The record is from RNAcentral. Lineage: Eukaryota; Fungi; Ascomycota; Sordariomycetes; Xylariales; Xylariaceae.
CAUUCAUCAGCGGAGGAAAAGAAACCAACAGGGAUUGCCCUAGUAACGGCGAGUGAAGCGGCAACAGCUCAAAUWUGAAAUCUGGCCUUCGGGUCCGAGUUGUAAUUUGUAGAGGAUGCUUUUGGCGCGGUGCCUUCCGAGUUCCCUGGAACGGGACGCCUUAGAGGGUGAGAGCCCCGUACGGUUGGACACCAAGCCUCUGUAAAGCUCCUUCGACGAGUCGAGUAGUUUGGGAAUGCUGCUCUAAAUGGGAGGUAAAUUUCUUCUAAAGCUAAAUACCGGCCAGAGACCGAUAGCGCACAAGUAGAGUGAUCGAAAGAUGAAAAGCACUUUGAAAAGAGGGUUAAAUAGCACGUGAAAUUGUUGAAAGGGAAGCGUUUACGGCCAGACCUUUUCCUGGCGGAUCAUCUGGUGUUCUCACCAGUGCACUCCGCCAGGUUUAGGCCAGCAUCGGCUCCCGUAGGGGGAUAAAAGCAGUGGGAAAGUAGCUCCCUCGGGAGUGUUAUAGCCCGCUGCACAAUACCCUUACAGGGGCCGAGGACCGCGCUUUUGCAAGGAUGCUGGCGUAAUGGUCGUCAACGACCCGUCUUGAAACACGGACCAAGGAGUCGAACAUUUGUGCGAGUGUUUGGGUGUCAAACCCUCACGCGUAAUGAAAGUGAACGGAGGUGAGAGCCCUCUAGGGGGUGCAUCAUCGACCGAUCCUGAUGUCUUCGGAUGGAUUUGAGUAAGAGCAUAACUGUUCGGACCCGAAAGAUGGUGAACUAUGCGUGGAUAGGGUGAAGCCAGAGGAAACUCUGGUGGAGGCUCGCAGCGGUUCUGACGUGCAAAUCGAUCGUCAAAUCUGCGCAUGGGGGCGAAAGACUUAUCGAACCAUCUCGUACCUGGUUACC